CAGUAGCCGCGGUAAUACGGAGGGUGCAAGCGUUAAUCGGAAUUGCUGGGCGUAAAGCGUGCGUAGGCGGUUCGUUAAGUCUGUUGUGAAAGCCCCGGGCUCAACCUGGGAAUGGCAAUGGAUACUGGCGAGCUAAAGUGUGUCAGAGGAUGGUGGAAUUCCCGGUGUAGCGGUGAAAUGCGUAGAGAUCGGGAGGAACAUCAGUGGCGAAGGCGGCCAUCUGGGACAACACUGACGCUGAGGCACGAAAGCGCGGGGAGCAAACAGGAUUAGAUACCCGUGUAGUCCCUGUCUCUUAUAC
This 301-nucleotide ribosomal RNA is filed under the name uncultured bacterium. Its description in RNAcentral is "partial 16S ribosomal RNA". It matches the Rfam family "Bacterial small subunit ribosomal RNA", at positions 509 to 807 of the family's 1533-position model. The record is from RNAcentral.